Molecule: unclassified non-coding RNA, 243 nt
Filed under: plant metagenome
Description: partial contains small subunit ribosomal RNA and internal transcribed spacer 1
Rfam family: Eukaryotic small subunit ribosomal RNA (bases 1-55)
Source: RNAcentral
GGAAGUAAAAGUCGUAACAAAGGUUUCCGUAGGUGAACCUGCGGAAGGAUCAUUACAGAGUUCAUGCCCUCACGGGUAGAUCUCCCACCCUUGAAUAUUUAUACCUUAGUUGCUUUUGCAGGCCGUGGAAACACCAUGGGCUCCGGUUUAUGCGUGCCUGCCAGAGGAAACAAACUCUGUUUUUAGUGAUGUCUGAGUACUAUAUAAUAGUUAAAACUUUCAACAACGGAUCUAUUGGUUCUG